RNAcentral lists this ribosomal RNA (274 nucleotides) under uncultured bacterium. Its description in RNAcentral is "partial 16S ribosomal RNA". It matches the Rfam family "Bacterial small subunit ribosomal RNA", at positions 523 to 796 of the family's 1533-position model. The record is from RNAcentral.
AUACGGAGGGUGCGAGCGUUAAUCGGAAUUACUGGGCGUAAAGGGUCCGUAGGCGGUCUGCUUAGUCUGAUGUGAAAGCCCCGGGCUUAACCUGGGAAUGGCAUUGGAUACUGGCGGACUAGAGUCUGGUAGAGGGUGGUGGAAUUCCCGGUGUAGCGGUGAAAUGCGUAGCUAUCGGGAGGAACACCAGUGGCGAAGGCGGCCACCUGGACCAAGACUGACGCUGAGGGACGAAAGCGUGGGGAGCAAACAGGAUUAGAAACCCUAGUAGUCC